This 449-nucleotide ribosomal RNA is filed under the name uncultured bacterium. RNAcentral's name for it is "SSU rRNA". It matches the Rfam family "Bacterial small subunit ribosomal RNA", at positions 26 to 518 of the family's 1533-position model. The record is from RNAcentral.
AGAGCGAACGCUGGCGGCAGGCCUAACACAUGCAAGUCGAGCGCCCGUAGCAAUACGGGAGCGGCAGACGGGAUAGUAACACGUGGGAACGCGCCCUUCGGUUCGGAAUAACUCAGGGAAACUUGAGCUAAUACCGAAUACGCCCUUACGGGGAAAGAUUUAUUGCCGAAGGAACGGCCCGCGUCCGAUUAGCUAGUUGGUGAGGUAAUGGCUCACCAAGGCUACGAUCGGUAGCUGGUCUGAGAGGAUGACCAGCAUCACUGGGACUGAGACACGGCCCAGACUCCUACGGGAGGCAGCAGUGGGGAAUAUUGGACAAUGGGCGCAAGCCUGAUCCAGCCAUGCCGCGUGGAUGAUGAAGGCCUUAGGGUUGUAAAGUCCGUUUUAACGGGGAAGUAUAAUGACGGUACCCGUAGAAUAGCCCCGGCUAACUUCGUGCCAGCAGCCGC